This 350-nucleotide ribosomal RNA is filed under the name uncultured bacterium. Its description in RNAcentral is "bacterial SSU rRNA". It matches the Rfam family "Bacterial small subunit ribosomal RNA", at positions 9 to 353 of the family's 1533-position model. The record is from RNAcentral.
CAAGUUUGAUCCUGGCUCAGGAUGAACGCUAGCUACAGGCUUAACACAUGCAAGUCGAGGGGAAACGACAUCGAAAGCUUGCUUUUGAUGGGCGUCGACCGGCGCACGGGUGAGUAACGCGUAUCCAACCUGCCCACCACUUGGGGAUAACCUUGCGAAAGUAAGACUAAUACCCAAUGACGUCUCUAGAAGACAUCUGAAAGGGAUUAAAGAUUUAUCGGUGAUGGAUGGGGAUGCGUCUGAUUAGCUUGGUUGGCGGGGUAACGGCCACCAAGGCUACGAUCAGUAGGGGUUCUGAGAGGAAGGUCCCCCACAUUGGAACUGAGACACGGUCCAAACUCUAGGGAGCA